GGGCUCGCAGGCGGUUUCUUAAGUCUGAUGUGAAAGCCCCCGGCUCAACCGGGGAGGGUCAUUGGAAACUGGGGAACUUGAGUGCAGAAGAGGAGAGUGGAAUUCCACGUGUAGCGGUGAAAUGCGUAGAGAUGUGGAGGAACACCAGUGGCGAAGGCGACUCUCUGGUCUGUAACUGACGCUGAGGAGCGAAAGCGUGGGGAGCGAACAGGAUUAGAUACCCUGGUAGUCCACGCCGUAAACGAUGAGUGCUAAGUGUUAGGGGGUUUCCGCCCCUUAGUGCUGCAGCUAACGCAUUAAGCACUCCGCCUGGGGAGUACGGUCGCAAGACUGAAACUCAAAGGAAUUGACGGGGGCCCGCACAAGCGGUGGAGCAUGUGGUUUAAUUCGAAGCAACGCGAAGAACCUUACCAGGUCUUGACAUCCUCUGACAAUCCUAGAGAUAGGACGUCCCCUUCGGGGGCAGAGUGACAGGUGGUGCAUGGUUGUCGUCAGCUCGUGUCGUGAGAUGUUGGGUUAAGUCCCGCAACGAGCGCAACCCUUGAUCUUAGUUGCCAGCAUUCAGUUGGGCACUCUAAGGUGACUGCCGGUGACAAACCGGAGGAAGGUGGGGAUGACGUCAAAUCAUCAUGCCCCUUAUGAC
This 643-nucleotide ribosomal RNA is filed under the name Bacillus subtilis. RNAcentral describes it as "bacterial SSU rRNA". It matches the Rfam family "Bacterial small subunit ribosomal RNA", at positions 565 to 1208 of the family's 1533-position model. Lineage: Bacteria; Bacillati; Bacillota; Bacilli; Caryophanales; Bacillaceae. The record is from RNAcentral.